UCUGACUCCUGGCAUCUGUAAACAGCCCGCAAGGGAGCAGAGCAGAGAGGUUAAAGCUCCCUCGCCGCCUCGGAUUAGAACUCUGCCACCUGCCAAAGUGAAGCCCCACUGGACCCCAGGGACAGAGCCACACCAGCUCUCCAGGUAGGGAGACGGGGUGGACAUUUAAUAUUAAUAAUUUGUGUGUCUGUAAGUGUGUAUGUGUGUGUGUGUCUGUAAGUAUAUGUGUGUUUGUCUGUGUCACAUGAUGCCAUGUUCUGCGGAAAUGUCUGGCUUUGGCUUCUGGUAUCCAGUACUCUUUUUACAAUUCUUGUCUAGUUUUUCUUGGUUUUCUGGUUUUCUAUUCUAUGUCUGGUUUUCUUUAUGCUGGGUUUCUAGGUUCAUAUUUAUAUACCAUCCCUGCAUUUCCCAGUCUCUUAGAUUCAUUUAAAUGUUUGUUUUAUGUUGCCACACCCGUUUGUUUUCCAUUUUCCUUUUGUUUCAGUCUAGACCUGCAGGCAGCUGCUCAAGCCUUCUGCCCUUUCUUGCAGGUAAGUGCUAUAUAUGUGUUUCUUAUGGUUCUUUUAGUAUACGUUAGGCAGAGUAGGACCUGCCGAAUAUGGGGUACAUUGAUGUUGUUGGCAGGCUUAUGCAAUGUAUGAUCAUAUAAUGUAACUAAAUCCCCAUACUUUUCAUAUAUAGUGCUUAGUUAUGUCUCCUCUUGUUUUGCCUAUUAAAUCUUGUCUUGUUUUAUUUUGUUACCCCAGUCCAUGUACAGUCCUGUCCUGUCCUGCCCCUGUUUAGUUAAUGUUCCCUU
Molecule: non-coding RNA, 796 nt
Organism: Pelobates cultripes (western spadefoot toad)
Lineage: Eukaryota; Metazoa; Chordata; Amphibia; Anura; Pelobatidae
Source: the annotation of a GenBank genome assembly